Podarcis lilfordi (Lilford's wall lizard) is the source of this 112-nucleotide non-coding RNA. The record is from the annotation of a GenBank genome assembly. NCBI's taxonomy places the organism in Eukaryota, Metazoa, Chordata, Lepidosauria, Squamata, Lacertidae.
GAGCGCCACAACCCCAGAGUCGUCCAUGACUGGACCUAAUGUUCAGGGGUAAAAGUAAAGGGACCCCUGACCAUUAGGUCCAGUCGCGGACGACUCUGGGGUUGCGGCGCUC